CCGCGCUCAUGUCUUCUAUACAAGGCGCCGUACCCUUUGUUAGUACAUUGAUGGCUUUAAAAUCACCUGGAUGUCCCCCGAGAGGUCCAACGGUGCACCCUCUUUGCCGGAUGUGAGCGAUAUGAAGAAGGAAGGUGGCAGGUGGCUUGUUCUAUUAACACGUUGUUUAUCAUGCAUGAAACUCUGAUCUACAGACCUAUCGAACUGUGCGUUACUGCUACACGUAAAGUAGCCCCCAUGCAGUUGAGGUUUUUGUGCUUCUAAUCGCUAUCACUGCUAUCCUCAUUAUAUGCUCUUGCCCUUGUCGGCCCUUCAUCAUCGCUCGAACUCUCGUCAUCACUCGCAUCAUCUACAUCGCUGCUUUCUUCACUGUCAUACUCGCCACCAUGCACCUUGGAUGGUUUGACAUUUUCUCCCCUCAUCAUCGCCAUCUGCCCCGCAAGCGUAUCUUCAUCUGGCUCCGAAAUGUCGUCACCCGCAUCAGAAUCUGAUUCCGAGGGAGGCUCCUCUACCU
RNAcentral lists this small RNA (514 nucleotides) under Cryptococcus neoformans H99. RNAcentral's name for it is "Cryptococcus neoformans var. grubii H99 hypothetical RNA". Lineage: Eukaryota; Fungi; Basidiomycota; Tremellomycetes; Tremellales; Cryptococcaceae. The record is from RNAcentral.